UCUAAUGUGGCAGACUAGUGCAAUGGAUUUAAGCUCCAGAUAUAAAGUAUUUUACUUUUAUUAGAA
RNAcentral lists this transfer RNA (66 nucleotides) under Sarcophaga antilope. Its description in RNAcentral is "tRNA-Leu". The record is from RNAcentral. Lineage: Eukaryota; Metazoa; Arthropoda; Insecta; Diptera; Sarcophagidae.